CAGCAGUGGGGGAUAUUGCACAAUGGGGGGAACCCGUGAUGCAGCGACGCCGCGUGGGUGAAGAAGCGCCUCGGCGCGUAAAGCCCUGUCAGCAGGGAAGAAAAUGACGGUACCUGAAGAAGAAGCCCCGGCUAACUACGUGCC
Molecule: ribosomal RNA, 144 nt
Filed under: uncultured bacterium
Lineage: Bacteria
Description: partial 16S ribosomal RNA
Rfam family: Bacterial small subunit ribosomal RNA
Source: RNAcentral